This 835-nucleotide unclassified non-coding RNA is filed under the name Hevea brasiliensis (rubber tree). Lineage: Eukaryota; Viridiplantae; Streptophyta; Magnoliopsida; Malpighiales; Euphorbiaceae. The record is from RNAcentral.
UAGAUCCCCUUUUUUGAAACCUCAUAGCAGUUUAUUGUUUUAAUCUCUUAAAUUGCUGACCCUUUUGGUUUGUUUAGAGGAAAAAUUCGAUCUUUUCUUCGAUUUUUUGUACGUGGGGUUGUUGUUUUCUGUUCUUCGAUUCCCCUUUUUUGCUGACCCUUUUGGUUUGUUAGAGGAAAAAUUCGAUCUUGGGAUUUGUAUUUUCUGUUUUUCAACUUGAUAGCAGUUUCAUCACCAUAAUCUCAUAGAUUUACUGGUUUUGUUAGAGGAAGCCGAUUGAACUUUUCUCUUUGAUUUUGUACGUGGGGUUUGGCAUUUCGUGAUCAUUUAUCCUUUUUGUCAACUUGAUAGCAGUUAAAUAACCGCACCUGGGUGGUUUUCAGUUUCAAAUUUUAUUUUCUGUUUUCCUUCUAUCAUUUGGUCAAUUUGAAAGGAAGGCGAAAAGAUUUCGAGAUCAUGGUGAAGGAGACUGAAUAUUAUGACAUUUUGGGGGUUAGCCCUACUGCUACCGAAUCUGAGAUUAAGAAAGCAUACUACAUUAAGGCACGACAGGUUCAUCCUGAUAAAAAUCCAAAUGACCCUCUAGCUGCACAGAAUUUUCAGGUGUUGGGAGAGGCUUAUCAGGUACUGAGCGAUCCAUCUCAACGGCAGGCUUAUGAUGCACAUGGAAAAUCAGGAAUUUCAACAGAUGCAAUCAUUGAUCCUGCAGCAAUUUUUGCUAUGCUUUUCGGAAGUGAACUUUUUGAGGAGUACAUAGGUCAGCUUGCUAUGGCAUCAAUGGCUUCAUUGGAUAUUUUCACUGAAGGUGAAGAUUUUGAUGCUAGAAAGUUACAAG